GACGAACGCUGGCGGCGUGCUUAACACAUGCAAGUCGAACGGAAAGGCCCGGCUUUUGUGGGGUCCGCGAGGGGCGAACGGGUGAGUUACCCGUGAGUAAGCUGCCCUUGACUUUGGGAUAUCUUCAGAAAAGUGGGGCUAAUACCGGCUAGGAGCUACCGCUGCAUGGUGGGGGUUGGAUAGUUUAGGCGGUUGGGGGUGGAAUCGCGGCUUAUUAGCUUGUUGGUUGGGUAGUGGCCUAGCAAGGCCUUGACAGGUAGCCGGCCUGAGAGGAGGACCUGCCACAUUACGACUGAGAUGCGGCCCAGACUCGAACGGUAGGCAACGGUGGAGAGUAUUACACAGUGGGCGGGAGCCUGAUCUGGUCCCGCCGCGCGCGGUAAGACGGCCAUCGGGUUGUAAACCGCAUUCGCCUGUGACGAAGCGUUAAUGACGGUAACGGGUAAAGAAGCACCGGCUAACUACGUG
This 468-nucleotide ribosomal RNA is filed under the name uncultured bacterium. Its description in RNAcentral is "partial 16S ribosomal RNA". It matches the Rfam family "Bacterial small subunit ribosomal RNA", at positions 28 to 507 of the family's 1533-position model. The record is from RNAcentral.